UGUUCUCAGAAAGUACACCAUUUUAAAAUAACAUGGCUACAAUUGGCAGCUACUUGGUGGGUGGAAGCAUCAAAGAAUGUCGUCUGUUUUUAAGGGUGGCAAAGGCGUCUAUCACUCUAUUGUGAUUUAGGUGCUGAAGCUCCUCUUUUUCAAUUGACAUGACUGCAAGACUGUGAAUGCCAUGACUUUCACUCACAACACAAUAAUUGUUUACUCCCAAAUAUUUUGAAGUCACACAGAAUAUAUUUUGGGCACAUAUGUGACUAAAAUGGUUGUAAUUUUAAGCCCUGAAAAAAUAUAACUUAAUUACAUAAAUUACAGUUAUAUUAAGGUACUCUUGAAAAUAUUUGGGCCAGGCUAAUUUGGCUUAUACAUCACUCUCUUGUAGGGAUGCACGAUAUAUCGGCAUUAAUAUUGGUAUCGGCCGAUGUUCGUCAUUUUUUAACAUAUCGGCAUCGGUCCAAUGAGUAAAACUGCGCCGAUUUUAACAACCGAUGUUAAUACCCGUCUAUUUGCUGUUUGUGUAUGUGUGUCGGGAAGGGGAGGCCAUGCUGCAUUUCUUUGAACAUGUUACAGUGACGCAAGUGCAGCACAAGGUGUGUGUGUGUGUGUGUGUGUGUGUGUGUGUGUGUUGAGGAGAGAUAAUGUCAGCGGUGUGGGCGUUUUUUCAGGGUGUCGAUAGAAGAUACGCGAAAAGCAUUAUGCAACACUUGCAAAGUUGAGAUAGGCCUGCAGUCAUAGGCCUAAUGACGCCACUGACUCUCCUAAAUAAAAGCUCAAGUUAAAUAAG
Long non-coding RNA from Solea solea (common sole), 790 nucleotides. RefSeq lists it as uncharacterized. The transcript is spliced from 2 exons. Lineage: Eukaryota; Metazoa; Chordata; Actinopteri; Pleuronectiformes; Soleidae. The record is from RefSeq and is a predicted model, not a curated record.